Molecule: ribosomal RNA, 253 nt
Filed under: uncultured bacterium
Lineage: Bacteria
Description: partial 16S ribosomal RNA
Rfam family: Bacterial small subunit ribosomal RNA
Source: RNAcentral
GACGUAGGGUGCGAGCGUUGUCCGGAUUUAUUGGGCGUAAAGAGCUCGUAGGCGGCUCGUCGCGUCGACCGUGAAAACCCGCAGCUUAACUGCGGGCCUGCGGUUGAUACGGGCGGGCUAGAGUUCGGUAGGGGAGACUGGAAUUCCUGGUGUAGCGGUGAAAUGCGCAGAUAUCAGGAGGAACACCGGUGGCGAAGGCGGGUCUCUGGGCCGAUACUGACGCUGAGGGGCGAAAGCAUGGGGAGCGUACAGG